GCUGAACUGUCCUUCGGCUUUCUGCACGUUCCGGAAACUUUGCGAUGAACCAGACUUUGUGAUCGCCCUGUUGAGACACUUCUCUGAAAAGGACAUCGAGG
This is a long non-coding RNA of Ornithodoros turicata, 101 nucleotides long. RefSeq lists it as uncharacterized. NCBI's taxonomy places the organism in Eukaryota, Metazoa, Arthropoda, Arachnida, Ixodida, Argasidae. The record is from RefSeq and is a predicted model, not a curated record. The transcript has 3 exons.